UUACCGAGUUUACACUCCCAAACCCAAUGUGAACCAUACCAAACUGUUGCCUCGGCGGGGUCACGCCCCGGGUGCGUCGCAGCCCCGGAACCAGGCGCCCGCCGGAGGGACCAACCAAACUCUUUCUGUAGUCCCCUCGCGGACGUUAUUUCUUACAGCUCUGAGCAAAAAUUCAAAAUGAAUCAAAACUUUCAACAACGGAUCUCUUGGUUCUGGCAUCGAUGAAGAACGCAGCGAAAUGCGAUAAGUAAUGUGAAUUGCAGAAUUCAGUGAAUCAUCGAAUCUUUGAACGCACAUUGCGCCCGCCAGUAUUCUGGCGGGCAUGCCUGUCCGAGCGUCAUUUCAACCCUCGAACCCCUCCGGGGGGUCGGCGUUGGGGAUCGGGAACCCCUAAGACGGGAUCCCGGCCCCGAAAUACAGUGGCGGUCUCGCCGCAGCCUCUCCUGCGCAGUAGUUUGCACAACUCGCACCGGGAGCGCGGCGCGUCCACGUCCGUAAAACACCCAACUUCUGAAAUGUUGACCUCGGAUCAGGUAGGAAUACCCGCUGAACUUAAGCAUAUCAAUAA
RNAcentral lists this ribosomal RNA (568 nucleotides) under Trichoderma koningiopsis. RNAcentral describes it as "eukaryotic LSU rRNA". The stretch from base 187 to 340 matches the Rfam family "5.8S ribosomal RNA". The record is from RNAcentral. Lineage: Eukaryota; Fungi; Ascomycota; Sordariomycetes; Hypocreales; Hypocreaceae.